GAUGAACGCUGGCGGCGUGCCUAACACAUGCAAGUCGAGCGAACAGACGAGGAGCUUGCUCCUUUGACGUUAGCGGCGGACGGGUGAGUAACACGUGGGUAACCUACCUAUAAGACUGGGAUAACUUCGGGAAACCGGAGCUAAUACCGGAUAAUAUUUCGAACCGCAUGGUUCGAUAGUGAAAGAUGGCUUUGCUAUCACUUAUAGAUGGACCUGCGCCGUAUUAGCUAGUUGGUAAGGUAACGGCUUACCAAGGCAACGAUACGUAGCCGACCUGAGAGGGUGAUCGGCCACACUGGAACUGAGACACGGUCCAGACUCCUACGGGAGGCAGCAGUAGGGAAUCUUCCGCAAUGGGCGAAAGCCUGACGGAGCAACGCCGCGUGAGUGAUGAAGGUCUUCGGAUCGUAAAACUCUGUUAUUAGGGAAGAACAAACGUGUAAGUAACUGUGCACGUCUUGACGGUACCUAAUCAGAAAGCCACGGCUAACUACGUG
This 497-nucleotide ribosomal RNA is filed under the name uncultured bacterium. RNAcentral's name for it is "partial 16S ribosomal RNA". It matches the Rfam family "Bacterial small subunit ribosomal RNA", at positions 28 to 507 of the family's 1533-position model. The record is from RNAcentral.